RNAcentral lists this ribosomal RNA (253 nucleotides) under uncultured bacterium. Its description in RNAcentral is "partial 16S ribosomal RNA". It matches the Rfam family "Bacterial small subunit ribosomal RNA", at positions 524 to 776 of the family's 1533-position model. The record is from RNAcentral.
UACGGGGGGGGCAAGCGUUGUUCGGAAUUACUGGGCGUAAAGGGCUCGUAGGCGGCCAACUAAGUCGGACGUGAAAUCCCUCGGCUUAACCGGGGAACUGCGUCCGAUACUGGAUGGCUGGAGGUUGGGAGAGGGAUGCGGAAUUCCAGGUGUAGCGGUGAAAUGCGUAGAUAUCAGGAGGAACACCGGUGGCGAAGGCGGGUCUCUGGGCCGAUACUGACGCUGAGGAGCGAAAGCGUGGGGAGCGAACAGG